AUGCUUAUCCCUUAUUUAUACAUGGGAGACAAUUGUUACAGAAUCUAAACCAGGGUGUGCGGUGGCUACGAUAGGAAUAUGGGGACUCAUCGGUCGCAGUGGUUGUUGUGGUACUAGCGCGCGUGCGACGGGAUAGUUGAACCAGGAAGAGGUAAGGCUAAAAUCUCUGGUAAGCAGGUUGAAUCUCCCUUAAUCUUGAUUUCAUUGUUAUAUUUUGAUGUAUUCUUGUUUAUGCUGCUGAAUAAUCGUCACAUGAAAGGUCCGAUGUCACUGAUUUGAUUUCAAGAAGACGAUACAUAACACUUAAUUAUAUAAAUAACAAAUACUACCUACAGUUAUGAAGCAAUGAAAAAAGAGAUGGAUGAGUUUAGUACUUUCUUGAUAUGAAGUACAAAAUGGGAAUUAACUUUUUUUUUUCUUAUCUCUCGUGCUAAAUGCAGAUAUGGAUCUAAGUUACAAAAGUUUUCUUCAUGAAUGGAAAAUAGACACAAAAGUAAAAGGCAUUCUGGUUGAUGGGACGUUGAUCAUUUCCUUUUAGUAAGGUAUCAAGAACUAAACCAUCUGGUCCUAAUUUGGUUGAGUAAUGGCACUUAAGAUAGUGACUGCAUGUCAUCAUGGUGUGGUUUUCAUAUGGGAGAUAGGUGUUAGACUUAUGUUGAGCCAAGAGAAUCAUUGGAUGAUAUUGGUAGCUAAAUCGUAUUAGCUAACUUCAAGUGAUACCGAAGAUCAUCAGAGUCAGGUUAUAACAAUCGAGGAGGAGGAACUGAAACCGAACAAGAAGAAACUAAGACAACACAAAGAGCAAUAUUAGCAAUAGUUGCGUUGAUGACCUGACAUAGGAUGUUAGUUAAAACUUAUUCCCUACAUAUUAUUAGUUGAUUUAUCUAAUAUUGUUUUAUAUUUUAGAAUUGAUCAACCAAGUUAAUUAAUUUGUAUGUUUAAUU
This 944-nucleotide long non-coding RNA is filed under the name Helianthus annuus (common sunflower). Its description in RNAcentral is "hypothetical non coding rna". Lineage: Eukaryota; Viridiplantae; Streptophyta; Magnoliopsida; Asterales; Asteraceae. The record is from RNAcentral.